CGCUGUUACCAAGCCCCAGCCGCCCACUGUAGGUCAUACACUCUUCCCUGCCUGCCGACAAGGGACAACCUACCAGCAAGCUAUAUAGCAGACGCCCCAGUGGGAGGCGACCAUGUCCCCGCAAACAUCGAACAAGGAGAUGCCGACGAGCGUGACCGUUGGGACGAUAGCGAGGGGCGUUAUCCAGCGUGUCAGCAACCCGACCAGCCCUGCAGCAGCGCCUCCGUCAUCAUACACAGGUACCAUCGCAAUGUAGACAAUACUGACUGUCUUCAGAUCCUCUCUCCUGCCACAAGGUUGCCUCUCUUUCUAUCUUCUAUCGCUACUUUCAUGCUAA
Scylla paramamosain (green mud crab) is the source of this 337-nucleotide long non-coding RNA. RefSeq lists it as uncharacterized. The record is from RefSeq and is a predicted model, not a curated record. Lineage: Eukaryota; Metazoa; Arthropoda; Malacostraca; Decapoda; Portunidae. The transcript is spliced from 2 exons.